Long non-coding RNA from Herpailurus yagouaroundi (jaguarundi), 358 nucleotides. RefSeq lists it as uncharacterized. NCBI's taxonomy places the organism in Eukaryota, Metazoa, Chordata, Mammalia, Carnivora, Felidae. The record is from RefSeq and is a predicted model, not a curated record. The transcript has 3 exons.
UUGGGGGGGGGAAGUUGCAGCUGUUUUGUUGACAUUCUGAAUGCUUUCUUCAUGCCCUGAAGGAGUUAUUCACCUGCACCAACUGCUUGGCUCCCAGAACUGCUCCAGCCUCCAUCAUUUCUAAGCCUGGAUCUUCAGCCUUUCCUUCAAGAUGGUUGAGAGACUAAAUGGGAGCUAAAAUGAAGGCACUCCACUCAAUUUCACCCAGAGGAAGAGGACCCUUUUUCAAGCUCACAUUGAAGGUAUUUUAUGACCUUGCAGCAGUGCUGACCCAUUACCUUUUUUUUUAACUGAGGUAAAAUAUAUACAACAUAAAAAUUGCCAUUUUAAUCAUGUAAAAACAUUUUUCUAAGUUUCU